This 138-nucleotide small nucleolar RNA is filed under the name Ornithorhynchus anatinus (platypus). The record is from RNAcentral. Lineage: Eukaryota; Metazoa; Chordata; Mammalia; Monotremata; Ornithorhynchidae.
CCCCUCUCAGCAUCGCACCUGGAGAGUUUCCAGACCUCUACCAGUCACGGCUAUGGGAGGGAGAGUCAAGCAGAGGCCUGUCCAGUCCAUUCCUAGCUUGGCCAGUGGCUAGCGAAUGGAAGGCAAUCUGCUACAAGU